This 764-nucleotide ribosomal RNA is filed under the name uncultured marine archaeon. Its description in RNAcentral is "bacterial SSU rRNA". It matches the Rfam family "Archaeal small subunit ribosomal RNA", at positions 23 to 793 of the family's 1478-position model. The record is from RNAcentral.
CUGACCGCUAUCGGAUUGAUACUAAGCCAUGCGAGUCAUUGUAGUAAUACAAGGCAGACGGCUCAGUAACGCGUAGUCAACCUAACCUAUGGACGGGAAUAACCUCGGGAAACUGAGUAUAAUGCCCGAUAGAACAUUAUGCCUGGAAUGGUUUAUGUUCCAAAUGAUUUAUCGCCGUAGGAUGGGACUGCGGCCUAUCAGUUUGUUGGUGAGGUAAUGGCCCACCAAGACUAUUACAGGUACGGGCUCUGAGAGGAGUAGCCCGGAGAUGGGUACUGAGACACGGACCCAGGCCCUAUGGGGCGCAGCAGGCGAGAAAACUUUGCAAUGUACGAAAGCACGACAAGGUUAAUCCGAGUGGUUUCUGCUAAAGGAACCUUUUGUCGGUCCUAGAAACACCGAUGAAUAAGGGGUGGGCAAGUUCUGGUGUCAGCCGCCGCGGUAAAACCAGCACCUCAAGUGGUCAGGAUGAUUAUUGGGCCUAAAGCAUCCGUAGCCGGCUCUAUAAGUUUUCGGUUAAAUCUGUACGCUCAACGUACAGGCUGCCGGGAAUACUGUAGAGCUAGGGAGUGGGAGAGGUAGACGGUACUCGGUAGGAAGGGGUAAAAUCCUUUGAUCUAUUGAUGACCACCUGUGGCGAANGCGGUCUACCAGAACACGUCCGACGGUGAGGGAUGAAAGCUGGGGGAGCAAACCGGAUUAGAUACCCGGGUAGUCCCAGCUGUAAACUAUGCAAACUCAGUGAUGCAUUGGCUUGUGGCUAA